Molecule: ribosomal RNA, 460 nt
Filed under: uncultured bacterium
Lineage: Bacteria
Description: bacterial SSU rRNA
Rfam family: Bacterial small subunit ribosomal RNA
Source: RNAcentral
CCUACGGGGGGCAGCAGUAAGGAAUAUUGGACAAUGGCCGCAAGGCUGAUCCAGCCAUGCCGCGUGCAGGAUGACAGAGCUCUGCUCCGUAAACUGCUUUUACUUGGGAAAAAACCCCUGCUUUCCAGCGGGGCUGAUUGUACCGAGAGAAUAAGGGACGGCUAACUUCGUGCCAGCAGCCGCGGUAAUACGAAGGUCCCAAGCGUUAUCCGGAUUUAUUGGGUUUAAAGGGUGCGUAGGCGGCUUAUUAAGUCAGUGGUGAAAGCUCCAUGCUUAACAUGGAAAUUGCCAUUGAUACUGAUGAGCUUGAGUAUAUUUGAAGUGGGCGGAAUGUGUCGUGUAGCGGUGAAAUGCUUAGAUAUGACACAGAACACCGAUUGCGUAGGCAGCUCACUAAACUAUAACUGACGCUGAGGCACGAAAGCAUGGGGAUCAAACAGGAUUAGAUACCCCUGUAGUC